CACCUGGACAGAAGACCCUAUGAAGCUUUACUGUAACUUGAAAUUGAAAUUGGACUUUAUUUGCGCAGCAUAGGUGGGAGGCGUUGAAGAUCUUCUUGCGGGAAAAUCAGAGCCAUCAGUGAGAUACCACUCUUGUAAUGUUAGAUUUCUAACUUUGGAUCAUUAUCUGGUCAAAGAACAGUUUCAGGCGGGCAGUUUGACUGGGGCGGUCGCCUCCCAAAUGGUAACGGAGGCGUACAAAGGUUUCCUCUGAACGGAUAGAAAUCGUAUCUAGAGUAUAAAGGCAUAAGGAAGCUUGACUGUGAGACCUACAAGUCGAGCAGGGACGAAAGUCGGUCUUAGUGAUCUGACGGUACUGAGUGGAAAGGCCGUCACUCAACGGAUAAAAGUUACUCUAGGG
RNAcentral lists this ribosomal RNA (400 nucleotides) under uncultured eukaryote. RNAcentral describes it as "partial Bacterial large subunit ribosomal RNA". It matches the Rfam family "Bacterial large subunit ribosomal RNA", at positions 2073 to 2473 of the family's 2925-position model. The record is from RNAcentral.